This is a long non-coding RNA of Esox lucius (northern pike), 357 nucleotides long. RefSeq annotates it as ribosomal protein L38. The transcript is spliced from 5 exons. NCBI's taxonomy places the organism in Eukaryota, Metazoa, Chordata, Actinopteri, Esociformes, Esocidae. The record is from RefSeq and is a predicted model, not a curated record.
UGGUACACCGUAGCUGAAGUAUAAAGGCUGCGUCAGCGGAAGUUCCGCCCUCUUCAUCCCCUCUAUUGCAGGCUGUGUUUCAGUCCGCUAACACGGCAAAAUGCCACGCAAAAUUGAAGAAAUCAAAGAUUUCCUUCUUACAGCAAGGAGGAAGGAUGCCAAGUCUGUUAAAAUCAAGAAGAACAAGGACAAUGUCAAGUUUAAGGUGCGUUGCAGCCGGUAUCUGUACACUCUCGUCAUCAUAGACAAGGAAAAGGCAGAGAAGCUGAAGCAGUCCCUGCCUCCAGGUCUGGCUGUGAAGGAGCUCAAGUAGAAGACCUACUGUGUAUAGAAAAUUGUAAUAAAAAGAGGAAAACA